Molecule: long non-coding RNA, 1109 nt
Filed under: Chrysemys picta bellii (western painted turtle)
Lineage: Eukaryota; Metazoa; Chordata; Testudines; Emydidae
Description: lncRNA (ENSCPBG00000000820.1)
Source: RNAcentral
AGCUGCACUUCUCUGAGCCUUAGCACGUCUGUCUCUGCUGUGCCCCCCCCCAUCUCCCCGCUCCCAGGGGGAAUAAUCCCCCCCCGUUCUCUAGCCCGGAGGGACUCUCAGCCAGCGUCACACAGGAGGGUUAUUGAGCGUCUGACCCCAGCACAGGAAACUCUCCGGCCUCAGGCCUGGCCCCCCCCCUCAGCCCAGCACAUCCCAGUCUCCCCUGCAUCCAGGGGGGCUCUGCCUGCUCCCCCUCUCCAGCCCCCCUGCUCCCCAGCUGGGCAUCUGAUACCCCCCGGGCCCCAAGCCAGGGAAACCGGCUGGUCCGGUCACCGGGCUCCUCUUCCCGCAGCCCAUUGUCCCCCCACUGGCCAGAGCCGGCUGCGACUCCGGGUCACCAGUCGCUGGGGUCUCCGUUCUCCAGGCCGUCGGCCGGGGUCCCUGUCACGGAGUCCCCGGGCGAUGCUCUGGAACUGCUCCCCACAAAGCCAGGCAGGACUCUGGGGAGCCUCCUCUCCCUUGGAGCAGACUGUCUCCAGGGCACGAAGCUCACACGGCUUCACCUCCUGGGAGCCUUCCGCCCCGGCGGGGUCCUGGGGGAGCCAGAGGGUCCUGCACCCCCACUCCGCAGUCAGACGUGACUCUCAGCCAGCCACUGCGUCUUUCCUUGCCGUGACGGGUUUGUGCCUGAGCCGCUGUGCCAGUGUUUUUACACCGUGUCCAUGCGGCUGUUUCACUUGUGUGCCCGUGGGAGGCAGCUGAGGUCACUCAAUCGAACUCCAAACAGCGCCGUUCCCUUAAAGUGGCCACAAUGAUAACGUAAAUCUUACCCAAAAUAGACGCUACAGCCAAUUCUAAGCUAACAUUGAUUAGAAAAGAAAAGCGAGAGAGAGUUGGUUCGAAGAUCAAUGUACAGACAGACUUGAGUUCAAUUCCUGAGGUUCAGACACAGCAGAGAUGAGCGUGUAGAAACAGUCCAGAGGUUACAGGCCAAUGUCCGAGCAGAUCUGACAUGAAGCAGGAUCGUCUUAGCUACAGGUUACUUCCUUCACGUUAAUAUUCCUUUUUUGAUCUUUAGCUCUGUUCGGUCACAGAUCUUCCUAGCCAGUCGCUACAGU